Long non-coding RNA from Vidua chalybeata, 1108 nucleotides. RefSeq lists it as uncharacterized. Lineage: Eukaryota; Metazoa; Chordata; Aves; Passeriformes; Viduidae. The record is from RefSeq and is a predicted model, not a curated record. The transcript is spliced from 3 exons.
AGGAAGUUGGGUCAAACCAAUCAGUAGUCAGGUUUGGAUAUUGGCACCUGGAGUGACCACUGAAAGUAUGGACACGCCUCUGAGAACACAGGGGGUUAAAAGCAAGAACUCCCAGGAGAACUGUCUCUUUUGGUUCCGGUCGUCAGAGAGUGCAGACUCCCCCCCUGCCCAGCCAUGGGCUGGGUGGGGGAGGGGAAGCCACGCGGCCUUGUCCAGUUAUCCUUUAAGCACCCAGUUUGCCUUUAGUGAGAGUGGGAAGCAGCACAGCCAUUGACUUGUUGCUUGGGAAACUCAUCCAAGAGUUGUCAUCAUCAAAUGAACAUGUCAGCAAGGUGCUCUGGCAGGCACUACCCAAAAAUAACUGAGGAUUGCAGCAGACCCACAGCACACAUCUGAAAUUCACGCCUCUGCUUCUUCUCAGCCAUGGGAUCCUCUUGGCUGACCUCCCCCUGCCCCAGGGCACACAGGAGCUGCCCAGUGACCAUCAAUCAGCCCCUUCUGCCUGGAGCUGCAGACCACAAGGUGCUGCAGCCGUGCUGGCAGGAGCACGGGGCUGCUCUGACAAGAAAGCACAGAGGAAUCUCUUUAUCUACUGAUAUCAGCAACCAGCUCUGCUGCAGCCUGACAAAGAGGCUGGGAGGUGAGGCUGGCUCCAGGCACAUCCAGCCAAACAGCAGGAAUGAGCAGGAAGGUAUUUCACAAGGAGACACUGUUGUUGCAAUGUUCACCCUGAUGAUUGCAAGGCCAAGAGAGGUUUCCCUGCAAGUUGUUUUGGGUGCUGGGGUUCUCAGAGCUGCCAGGGAGCUGCUGCAGCAACAAAAUAUCAAUGCAUAUGGAUAAACCUUGGGAUGAAUAAUAGAAUCAUGGAGUGGUUUUGGUGGGAAGUGACCUGAAAGCUCAUCUCAUUCCACCCCUGCCAUGGGCAGGGACACCUCCCACUACCUCAGGGUGCUCCAAGCCCUGUCCAGCACCUAAAGGGAUGAUGCUCAACUCCUCUCUGCUCCUGCUCACUAUGGGUGUAAGACAAGGUUUUUUCUUUAAUGGGACUGUUGCUUCCUUUCCAUCAUCUCCAGCCAAGUUAAACUAAUUAAACUGAAUGCAGAUUAUA